AACGAACGCUGGCGGCAUGCCUAACACAUGCAAGUCGAACGAGACCUUCGGGUCUAGUUGCGCACGGGUGCGUAACGCGUGGGAACCGGCCCUUAGGUUCGGGAUAACUCCCCGAAAGGGGUGCUAAUACCGGAUAAUGUCUUCGGACCAAAGAUUUAUCGCCUUUGUAUGGGCCCGCGUUGGCUUAGCUAGUUGGUAGGGUAAAAGCCUACCAAGGCGACGAUCCAUAGCUGGUCUGAGAGGAUGAUCAGCCACACUGGGACUGAGACACGGCCCAGACUCCUACGGGAGGCAGCAGUGGGGAAUAUUGGAAAAUGGGCGAAAGCCUGAUCCAGCAAUGCCGCGUGAGUGAUGAAGGCAUUAGGGUUGUAAAGCUAUUUUACCCGGGAUGAUAAUGACAGUACCGGGAGAAUAAGCUACGGCUAACUCCGUG
This 433-nucleotide ribosomal RNA is filed under the name uncultured bacterium. Its description in RNAcentral is "partial 16S ribosomal RNA". It matches the Rfam family "Bacterial small subunit ribosomal RNA", at positions 29 to 507 of the family's 1533-position model. The record is from RNAcentral.